Molecule: long non-coding RNA, 1190 nt
Organism: Clupea harengus (Atlantic herring)
Lineage: Eukaryota; Metazoa; Chordata; Actinopteri; Clupeiformes; Clupeidae
Source: Ensembl
GAGAGAGAGAGCGAGAGAUGAGAGAGAGAGAUAUGAGAGAGAGAGAGAGAGAAGAGAGAGAGAAGAGAGAGAGAGAGAGCGAGAGAUGAGAGAGAGAUGAGAGAGAGAGAGCGAGAGAUGAGAGAGAGAGAGAUAUGAGAGAUAGAGAGAGAUGAGAGAGAGAGAGCGAGAGAUGAGAGAGAGAUGAGUGAGACAGAGAGAUGAGAGAGAGAGGUGAGCACUACUGUUCAGUGUAACUGGUACUGAGAAUGUAAGGCUGAGAAACCUCAGAGAACGCUCCAUAUGUCGAAUCAUUUCUCCUUUUCUUCUCUGUUUUGUUUCUUUUUCACUUUUUCUUUUUUAAAGCUGCCCCUCACGCUGCCCUCUAUAAGUCUUCUUUUAAUAGCAGUGCAUGAAAUUCUAAGUUUUUUUUUUUUUUUUUAAAGACAUUUGGCAUAUUAGAGAACAUACACACAAAGACAUGUUGAUCAAAGCUCCUUUUUUAAAAACACAACAGCUGCUUUUGGAAGAACAUACAUGUUAUGUAGAAAAUAAAAAAGAAUGAAAAGUGAUAAAAAAGAGAGUAAAAAUCUGUCCAUGUAGGUCUGACAUAACAUCCCAUUUGACUGAGAAGGUGAGGAAAUGAAAGUUGUUACAUAGGUACUUUUGUUUAAAAAUAGGCUUGUAACAGACAAUGAAAAUUACUGACCCACUUUCAUUCAGGCUGAGGUGAAACUGAAUUUGAAAUAAAUUAAGUCAAUUUGUGUUUUGUGAUAACCCAGAGGAGUAAAAAGAUGCAUGACACCACCAAAGCACUGAAACUGGUGUAAACCCAUGAUGUGCUCCCUUUGACUGUGUGGUCUCUUCCUUUUCUACCGCUAUCUUUCUACGGCAGCCUGUCUUUUAGUUAUCACAGGCAAAUGUGUAAACAGUGAAUCCAGAUUAGAACCAAAUCACACAAGUCUGACAGUGGCCAGAGAAGAACCUUGUGACCAGCAUGGUUCGGCUUAAUUGCUGAGCUCGUAUCGGUGGACAGAUUUUGCCUCCAUUUCUGGAAACCCAGGGGUCAUGAUUAGGCGGGGAACUACAUAGAGAACACCCUCCUGGUUCCCAGAUAACAAAAAACAACAAAAAGUAGCGACCGAAUGUGUAAACUAAACUAGGCACAGACAUACAGCCGAAUAGAGAGGACCACAGAGUCUCAGAGACAG